CCACGUUGAUCCUGCGUGAGAUUGCUGCUAUUUGGGUUCGAUUUAGCCAUGCAAGUCAGAUAGUAAUAUCGGCAGAAUGCUCAGUAACACGUCAUUAAUCUAACCUUAGGUCAGGCAUAACCUUGAGAAAUUGAGGGUAACUCCUGAUAGAGAAAAUGUUCUGGAAUGAACUUUUCUUGAAACUCGUGCCUUAGGAUGAGAUGGCGGCUGAUUAGGUUGUUGGUGAGGUAAAGGCUCACCAAGCCUAAGAUCAGUAGGGGCCUUGAAAGAGGGAGCCCCGAGAAGGGUACUGAGAUACUGACCCUAGCCCUACGGGGUGCAGCAGGCGCGAAACCUUUACACUGCACGAAAGUGCGAUAAGGGGACCCAAAGUGCAUAUACUUUGUAUAAGCUUUUUUCAAAAGUAAAUACUUUGAAGAAUAAGUGGUGGGCAAGACUGGUGCCAGCAGCCGCGGUAACACCAGCGCCACGAGUGGCAAUCAUGUUUACUUGGCCUAAAGCGUCCGUAGCCGGUUAGGUAAAUCUUUUGUGAAAUUGUUGGGCUCAACUCAACAACGUGCAGAAGACACUACCUAACUUGGGACCGGGAGGAGUCAGAAGUAUUCUUUGGGGAGCGGUAAAAUGCUAUAAUCCUUAGAAGACUACCUGUGGCGAAGGCGUCUGACCAGAACGGAUCCGACGGUGAGGGACGAAAGCUAGGGGCGCGAACCGGAUUAGAUACCCGAGUAUUCCUAGCUGUAAACUCUGCGAGCUAGAUGUUGCAUUUUCUCCGUGAAAGUGCAGUAUCGUAGCGAAGGCGUUAAGCUCGCCGCCUGGGAAGUAUGGUCGCAAGACUGAAACUUAAAGGAAUUGGCGGGGGAGCACCACAAGGGGAUGCGGCGUGCGGUUUAAUCUAACUCAACACAGAGAAUCUCACCAGCAGCGACGGCAGAAUGAAGGUCAGGUUAAAGGCUUUACCUAACAAGCCGAGAGGUGGUGCAUGGCCGCCGUCAGCUCGUGCCGUAAGGUGUCCAGCUAAGUCUGGUAACGAGCGAGAUCUGUGCCCACAAUUGCUAACAAGUUCUUCGGAAUGAUUGAGCACAUUGUGGGGACUGCCUUCGAAAGGAGGAGGAAGGUGCAGGCCACGGUAGGUCUGUAUGCCCCGAAUCUGCUGGGCUACACGCGCGCAACAAUGGUUAAGACAAUGGGCUACGACUCCGAAAGGAGAAGUUAAUCCUCUAAACUUAAUCUUAGUUCAGAUUGAGGAUUGUAACUCAUCCUCAUGACGCUGGAAUCCCUAGUAAUCGGAGUUUAUCAAAUUCCGGUGAAUAUGUCCCUGCUCCUUGCACACACCGCCCGUCAAGCCAUCCGAGCAGGGUUUAGGUGAGAGUCAGUUUUUUGAUUGCCUCGAACCUAAGCUCAGUGAGGCGGGUUAAGUCGUCACAAGGUA
RNAcentral lists this ribosomal RNA (1429 nucleotides) under metagenome. Its description in RNAcentral is "bacterial SSU rRNA". It matches the Rfam family "Archaeal small subunit ribosomal RNA". The record is from RNAcentral.